AUGUACGCCCGUACGCGCCGGUUUCCAGCGCUGUCCGCCCACCUGACGGCUGCUCGCUACGUUUUGUUAGCG
This 72-nucleotide small RNA is filed under the name Xanthomonas campestris. RNAcentral's name for it is "sRNA sX9". It matches the Rfam family "Xanthomonas sRNA sX9". The record is from RNAcentral. Lineage: Bacteria; Pseudomonadati; Pseudomonadota; Gammaproteobacteria; Lysobacterales; Lysobacteraceae.